GACAGAGGGUGCAAACGUUGUUCGGAAUUACUGGGCGUAAAGCGCGUGUAGGCUGCUCGGAAAGUCGGGUGUGAAAGCUCUGGGCUCAACCUAGGAAGUGCACUCGAAACUUCCGUGCUGGAGUGCUGGAGAGGAAGGCGGAAUUCUCGGUGUAGAGGUGAAAUUCGUAGAUAUCGAGAGGAACACCGGUGGCGAAGGCGGCCUUCUGGACAGCAACUGACGCUGAGACGCGAAAGCGUGGGGAGCAAACAGG
Molecule: ribosomal RNA, 253 nt
Filed under: uncultured bacterium
Lineage: Bacteria
Description: partial 16S ribosomal RNA
Rfam family: Bacterial small subunit ribosomal RNA
Source: RNAcentral